RNAcentral lists this ribosomal RNA (551 nucleotides) under uncultured Glomeromycotina. RNAcentral describes it as "SSU rRNA". It matches the Rfam family "Eukaryotic small subunit ribosomal RNA", at positions 548 to 1098 of the family's 1831-position model. Lineage: Eukaryota; Fungi; Glomeromycota. RNAcentral also lists the same sequence under 1 other name. The record is from RNAcentral.
UUGGAGGGCAAGUCUGGUGCCAGCAGCCGCGGUAAUUCCAGCUCCAAUAGCGUAUAUUAAAGUUGUUGCAGUUAAAAAGCUCGUAGUUGAACUUCGGGGUCUACCCAUUGGUCAGGCUUAAUUGUCUGCACUGGUGAGAUGGAUCUCUACCUUCUGAGGAACUUUCAUGCCAUUUAUUUGGUGUGAUGGGAAAUCAGGACUGUUACUUUGAAAAAAUUAGAGUGUUUAAAGCAGACUAUCGUCUGAAUACAUUAGCAUGGAAUAAUGAAAUAGGACGGACUGAUUCUAUUUCGUUGGUUUCUAGGAUCACCGUAAUGAUUAAUAGGGAUAGUUGGGGGCAUUAGUAUUCAAUUGUCAGAGGUGAAAUUCUUGGAUUUAUUGAAGACUAACUACUGCGAAAGCAUUUGCCAAGGAUGUUUUCAUUAAUCAAGAACGAAAGUUAGGGGAUCGAAGACGAUCAGAUACCGUCGUAGUCUUAACCAUAAACUAUGCCGACUAGGGAUCGGACGAAGUUAAUUUUAUAAUGACGCGUUCGGCACCUUACGGGAAAC